RNAcentral lists this transfer RNA (70 nucleotides) under Camelus bactrianus (Bactrian camel). It matches the Rfam family "tRNA". Rfam says of the family: Transfer RNA (tRNA) molecules are approximately 80 nucleotides in length. Their secondary structure includes four short double-helical elements and three loops (D, anti-codon, and T loops). The record is from Rfam by way of RNAcentral. Lineage: Eukaryota; Metazoa; Chordata; Mammalia; Artiodactyla; Camelidae. RNAcentral also lists the same sequence under 2 other names.
GAGGGUAUAGCUCAGUGGUAGAGCAGUGCUUAGCAUACACAACGUCCUGGGUUCAAUCCCAGUACCUCCU